RNAcentral lists this ribosomal RNA (305 nucleotides) under uncultured bacterium. RNAcentral describes it as "bacterial SSU rRNA". It matches the Rfam family "Bacterial small subunit ribosomal RNA", at positions 333 to 653 of the family's 1533-position model. The record is from RNAcentral.
CUUGUCCUACGGGGGGCAGCAGUGGGGGGUAUUGCACAAUGGGGGAAACCCUGAUGCAGCGACGCCGCGUGGGCGAAGAAGUAUUUCGGUAUGUAAAGCCCUAUCAGCAGGGAAGAAGAAAUGACGGUACCCGAGUAAGAAGCACCGGCUAAAUACGUGCCAGCAGCCGCGGUAAUACGUAUGGUGCAAGCGUUGUCCGGAUUUACUGGGUGUAAAGGGAGCGCAGGCAGCACGGCAAGCCUGAUGUGAAAGCCCGCGGCCCAACCGCGGGACUGCAUUGGGAACUACCGGGCUGGAGUGCCGGG